GCUUCUCCAUCACCCACGUGUCCGACUUGGACGCCGACUCCGUGGGAGGUGACCAAGAAUAAGAGAGGACUGAAGUCCUGGCAGUUGUGGGCAGCAGAUUCCAGUGCUUCGGUGCCCCAUGCACGUGCUGGAGAAGCAAGUGGGAGGAGAGGCUCCUCUCCGGCCCUGGACAUAGAUGGGCUGCGUAUGCCAGUCCUGUGCUGCCCUGGGGGCAGAAUGUGUCCUGGACACUUGGUUUGCUGCUAGCUCCCAGGGAUGCCCGUGGGCGUCUGUACACACACAUAUAAACACUCAAGAGGGGCCUCACACCCCUAGGCCAGGUGGCUCCCCACCUUGCAGUUGCCCUUUCCCCUGGCUGCUGCUGUUGGGCUGCUUGACCUCUGAGGCCAGACUGCUCUUGUCCAAGGGGCCUGCAUGCCCUGCCCAGCUGGCCCCUCAGUGUGCUCCCAGGACACUGGCCUCACGACAGGAGGCUCGCAAGCCCCUUCCUGCUCCCUUUGCUUUUCUUGCCUGGUUUUGGGUUUGCUCGGUGCAAGGAGAGGACUCUGGGCUCCCGUGUCCCCUGUCACCCUAAUCUCAAAGUCUGUGGCUGUGUUUUUGUUCCCUGACUCACUUGCCCCAUAAGGCCUCCUUCCACACAGGGUCUGGGCUGCUCCUGCCUGGGUCCCACUGCCGGAGCCCGGGCUGCGGGUGGGUGGGCCACAAAAGUGGGCAGCCAGAAAGACAGGGAGUGGGAGGCUUCUGGGCCGCACCCCUGCUGCCACGGGCCCCCUUUUAGAGGUGUCCUUGGCAGGGCAGUGCGGGCAGCUCCCCUCUGCAAGGCACUGCCAGGCCCUGAACCUAGCUGCCAGAGGAGAUGGGGCUGCACCUCACCGUGAGUGUCAGGAGCUCCUGCCUGCAGGGACGGUGACCGCAGAGAAAGGGUCGAACUGGCGGUAGCACAGGGAGUAUUUUUGUAAUCGCCUUUGCUGGAGCGAAUGGAUGUGGAUGAUUUUAAGUUAUUGUUGCCAAAGAGACGUAUGUAAAGUUUAUUGUUGCUUUGGGGGUGGUGAGGGCUUGUAUUUGUAUUUUUUGUUUCUUAUUAGUUUGAGGCUCAGGAUGCUGGUGCAGUGAUCUUGUUCCUUUUCCAUUUCUUUGUUUUUUAAGACAAAUCAAGCUAAGAAAAAAAAAAAAAAAAAGCCUCUGUG
Galeopterus variegatus (Sunda flying lemur) is the source of this 1187-nucleotide long non-coding RNA. RefSeq lists it as uncharacterized. NCBI's taxonomy places the organism in Eukaryota, Metazoa, Chordata, Mammalia, Dermoptera, Cynocephalidae. The transcript is spliced from 2 exons. The record is from RefSeq and is a predicted model, not a curated record.